Molecule: long non-coding RNA, 3138 nt
Organism: Glossina fuscipes
Lineage: Eukaryota; Metazoa; Arthropoda; Insecta; Diptera; Glossinidae
Exons: 2
Source: RefSeq, a predicted model, not a curated record
AAGUAAAAAGUAAAAAUUAUAAUAAAUAUAAAAAAUUAAUCAUUAAAACAACAAUUUAGUAGUUUUUACAAACAAAUCCCAGAUUUAAGUGUUCUUUGGGAUAAAAAGAAAAAACAAAAAAUAAUAUCAUUUAAUGUUCAACAAGCAUGGCGGUAAAUAAAAACGAGUGUAGUGAAAUCCAUCACCACCACCCACAUGCUCUCUUUUCUCAUAAAUCUUGUUUCAUAACUCGUCAAGGCGAAGAAACUACACAUCGCCAGCAAUUGCUCCGAAAAAAAUAAAUUAAAAAAAAAAUAAAAAAAAAAAAAUAUAUAUAUAUAUAUAUAUAUCACUCUUUGAUCUAAUUUUUUAUAUUCUCCCUUCUAUAUACUAUACAAGACAUUUUUCUUAUUCUCUCUUCCGUCUCUCUUUCUUUUCUUUAUCUUUCUUCCUUUCUUCAUAUCUUUAUCUCUCUCUUUUCCUAUCCGUGAGUCUUUCUAUUUCUCUGACUUUCGCUAUAACCUAAUUUUCUAAUUUUCUUUCAAUUUUCUUAAUCGUCUUCUUUUCAAUCUAUAUAUACUUUUCUCCUUCGCCUCUGUGUAUAUGUGUGUGUGUGAGAGAGAUUCAAAUACCAUACACCAACUAACAUUCGCCAACAACGUUCAAAAUGAUCCAUUGUCAGCAAAAAUUCUUAGGAACGAACUGUAAACGAGUUUGAGCCUUUUUUUUGGGCUUUGCAAAGAGUUGCGAAAACUUUCAGAAAUUAAAAUUUAUUUUGAUUUAAAAUUUUAAAAAAAUGUACAUAUAUAUAUGUACUACUUAUGUACUGCUCUAAAUCUCAUUGCAUGAGAACUAGUUUUAGUAAUUUUAAAACAAAAGCAAAAAAAAGAAUUAUGUAAGGUACUCUUUCGUCCUUUUGUGCCUACCGAGCUAGAGGGCAAACUGUACUAGCCAUGUACAUCGACCAAUUCUAGAACUGUAAACGCGGAGACGCAAAAGGUAUACUUUACGAUAUCUGGAGCUUUCUCGACGAAUCCUCAGAUCCAUGCAUGUCCACCAUAUUUGAAAUUUGUUUCAUAAAAUGUUUAAUUCUCAAUUAUGGGAGAUGGGCAUUUUUGUUUGCUACUCAAAAAUUACUCUACCAGAUAUUGGGCUCAGAUGACGAUUCCUUGCAAUUAUUUUCUAAUACCAAGCAGCCGUAUGUGUUUAUAACAAAAACUGACAAACAAACACCAUUUGUUUCAUAUCAAAGAUUUCCACAAGUUUUAUAACAAAUUGUUUAGAAAAAAGACAUGACGACUGUAUUCGUAUUAAUUAAAAAAUUAAUUAAUCCCAUUUAGACCAAUUCUCUGCUUUAGUUUUCUUAGCUCCCCCGAGUGCAAAGAGAGCAAUUAAGUAAUUCUUACGUAAGACUUCUAUAAGUGGAAUAGGUGCGCAUACCUGCUGCAGUCACUCUCACUUCUAAAUUCUUUACUCUAAGCUCUGUACUAAGUUACGUGCAAAUUGGCUCGUUUAAGCAAUCCUUCAUGCGUAAUACAGUUUCCAGGCGGCACAUAGCUGCACUAUUAAUUCUUGAUAUUAAGCAAGUUUUGUAUUUACUAUAUAUUAUAAUGAACGUGACAUUGUAAUUUCGUAACCAAUCGUAUUUCUUAUUGUUUGACAAUUGAGGUUAUGUGCAAUACUAUAAUAGGCAAUCACUUCGAUUAUGCUGAAUUUCUUAUUUCCGGAUGGCAACUGGUCACUGGCGUAAAGACAAAGACCAGACGCAGUAUUUGCAAUUGAAACGGAUUCGAUUGUUAUCGGCGUUUCAUAGAAAAAGGAACAUGCAAGGCCGAUAUACGAUUUGAUACGAUUAUAAUGACUUUAACGGAUUAAGGGCAAGUUUGUGGGCAUUUCGUUUCUCAAUAUCUCAUUCUAUUCAUUGAAUGACGAUGGAUAAAAGGCAGGAUUCAAUUAAGAUCACCAAAGUAAAUAAACUAAGUUUAACCGUCCGCGCUUUCCACACACAGCACACUCUAAAUGAACAUUUUCAUGACCAAACCAAAAUUAUUUCUCUAUGGAUCGCAAUUUAUAGAGAACUGCCUGAUAUUUGUAUAGACAUUAAUGCCCAAAAACGCUUUAACCAAUGAGUUUUGAUGCAUUCCUUAAGUGACGAAUGCAUUCAAAAUACAUGAUCCUCUGUACUCUCUUUCCUCUCUUUAAUCUCUUCUUCGUCCCACAAUACCAUAUAAAAAUCGUCAGUUAGAAUGACUCGAACGUGAUUCGGGUGCAAGUAGCACUUCAUUCAGCAAAAAUUCCUAAAUCUAUAUAUUAAGUAAAUAAAAUCAGUUCAUAUAAAAAUUAGUUAACAAAUCUUACAUUUAUCUAAGUUAAAGAAUACAGAGUAAUAUAUACAUAUAUAUAACGUAGUUCGUUUAUUGCUUUCUCUAACAACCAUAUUUCUUAAAAAAAAAACAAAAAAAAAAAAACAAUCUCUUCUCUUCGUCUUUGCACUACUCCCUUCCUCUUUUUAAAAGUGUUAUAAUUUAUUUUCGCUUUCAUAGCUUCCCAUCUCUGGAAGACACUUAGAACAUAACCUCAAUUGUGUGUUUUUGGUUUCUAUAAAUAUUAUAUACAAAAUAAUUUUAUUAUUGAAUUGAAUUUAAUAACAGCAACAAUAAUAUAUACAAAAAUUUAAAAAAAUAUAUAUAAAAUGAAAAAAAACUUAAAAACAAUACUUAAAACGCAAACCAACCGAAUUAAAUAUAAUAAAUCAAGCCAAAUUCUAAAUAAUAUUUUUAAAUGUUAUAUAGAAAAACUUGGAAGCCCAUUUAAUGAUGGAAAUGAUAUAUAUUAUGGUAAUAAAAGUGAUUUAAACAAAGGAUUAAAGUUUAUUAAAAGAUUAUUUAAAACAAAACAAAAAAAAAAAGAACAAGAAAAACACUUUAUAGGUUUUUUGCUCUGUGUUUAAUAAAAAGCAGCUUAACUUUAUGUUAUAACAUUUUAAUUAAUCUCUUAAUAAAUUACAAUAAAUAAUUAUUUAAAAUUAUUAUUGAAAAUUGUUUUCAAAAAAAUUUGUUAUUACAAUUGUUGUUGUUUUCCAAUUUACAGAGAAGAGAAGUUUUAUCAAAACACAAAAACAAAAAAAAAACAAAAAAAUCAAUAAAUAAAUGAAUAAAA